Molecule: long non-coding RNA, 698 nt
Organism: Anthonomus grandis grandis
Lineage: Eukaryota; Metazoa; Arthropoda; Insecta; Coleoptera; Curculionidae
Exons: 4
Source: RefSeq, a predicted model, not a curated record
UAAUUUAUUCUGAUAAAAACUAUUAAUUUUCGAACUGACAAUGACAUUCGAAAAUGGAGAUUCUUUACAAGUGCAACCAUGGAAAUAGAAGCAAUUGGCAGUGUUUAUAACAUUAUUUUUAUCCUCGAUUUUACCUUAAUUUGUAAAUAGACGUACUUAUUUGUUUUCUUGUUAUUUAAAUGUAAAUAUUUCGGAAACAGUUGAGUUUUCAGAUAAGAUAAUUAAUUUUCUACUUUCUAAAACCUGUAUCGGUUCAGAAGUGAUGCAUGUUUCUGAUUGGAGCAAAGAAAGCCGAAUUUCAUAUUUAGAAGAACAUACUAUGACCUCAAAAAGAACCGAAUGUCUUGGAUUGGAAAAGUUCCAGGGUAUUUGUACUAAAGAACCUGUUAAUUAUGUCCGGUGGCAUGAUAUAUUUUUUAAUACUAAAUACAAAAAUCAUAUUUUAACAAGAAAACGCACGCUGGAAUCAACAUCCUUUCCAACAGUCAAUAAAAUUCCUUGUCAAUGUGCCAUGAAUUAUAUUCUUCUAGACUUAGGAAAUAAUAUAUAUCCAAGGUACAUUUACACAGGCGUGUGCAGUAAAAAACAAAUGUGUGGUUUAUUUUACCAAUGCCAUCCAAGAAAAUAUAAGCUUCAUGUUUUAAGAAAAAAGGACUCCAACCUGGUAAUACCUGAAGAAAGUGAACAAAAAGAUGAAU